RNAcentral lists this ribosomal RNA (163 nucleotides) under Mesembryanthemum amplectens. RNAcentral's name for it is "5.8S ribosomal RNA". It matches the Rfam family "5.8S ribosomal RNA". From Rfam's summary of the family: 5.8S ribosomal RNA (5.8S rRNA) is a component of the large subunit of the eukaryotic ribosome. It is transcribed by RNA polymerase I as part of the 45S precursor that also contains 18S and 28S rRNA. Lineage: Eukaryota; Viridiplantae; Streptophyta; Magnoliopsida; Caryophyllales; Aizoaceae. The record is from RNAcentral. RNAcentral also lists the same sequence under 12 other names.
UAAAACGACUCUCGGCAACGGAUAUCUCGGCUCUCGCAUCGAUGAAGAACGUAGCGAAAUGCGAUACUUGGUGUGAAUUGCAGAAUCCCGUGAACCAUCGAGUCUUUGAACGCAAGUUGCGCCCGAAGCCUUCGGGCCGAGGGCACGUCUGCCUGGGCGUCAC